Molecule: ribosomal RNA, 681 nt
Filed under: uncultured bacterium
Lineage: Bacteria
Description: bacterial SSU rRNA
Rfam family: Bacterial small subunit ribosomal RNA
Source: RNAcentral
GGAUACGCUCUGGAAACGGAGAACAAAUCCCGAUGUACAGGAAGGAGGCAUCUUCUUUCUGUGAAACAUCCUUUAGGGGAUGGGGCGCGGAUGGACCUGCGGUGCAUUAGUUGGUUGGCGGGGUAAAGGCCCACCAAGACGAUGAUGCAUAGCCGGUCUGAGAGGGCGGACGGCCACAUUGGGACUGAGACACGGCCCAGACUCCUGCGGGAGGCAGCAGUAGGGAAUUUUCGUCAAUGGGCGCAAGCCUGAACGAGCGAUGCCGCGUGAGUGAAGAAGGCCUUCGGGUCGUAAAGCUCUGUUGCGGGGGAAAAAAGGCAGCAUCAGGAAAUGGGUGCUGACUGAUGGUGCCCCGCCAGAAAGUCACGGCUAACUACGUGCCAGCAGCCGCGGUAAUACGUAGGUGGCGAGCGUUAUCCGGAAUGAUUGGGCGUAAAGGGUGCGCAGGCGGUCCUGCAAGUCUGGAGUGAAACGCAUGAGCUCAACUCAUGCAUGGCUUUGGAAACUGGAGGACUGGAGAGCAGGAGAGGGCGGUGGAACUCCAUGUGUAGCGGUAAAAUGCGUAGAUAUAUGGAAGAACACCAGUGGCGAAGGCGGCCGCCUGGCCUGUUGCUGACGCUGAGGCACGAAAGCGUGGGGAGCAAAUAGGAUUAGAUACCCUAGUAGUCCACGCCGUAAACG